AUGGUGUCACUGGGCUCAACUUCCAGGGUGAUGGUCUUGCCAGUGAGUGUCUUCACGAAGAUCUGCAUGUUUCUCUGCAAUGAGAGCAGCUCCACCUCAGUUUCUGGCCGCCACCCUGCCCUAAGCCGUUGCUGGGCUCCCGGGCAACGCCCCUUCGCGACGGCACGCCCUACGUACCUACGUCACCGCCUACAUCAUCUGACGUCAAAGCUCAGAACCGCCCACGUCCCCGUCCCGCUUCCCGCCCAGGCCGCCCGCGCCCGCCAUCUUGAAGGGCCGCUGCGCCUGCGCGGCCGCCAUUUUGCCGGUAGCCGCCUAUACCCCCCUCCGCCGCCCAUCGCCACUGCCCCUAUAACGGGGCACACGUACGCACACAUACGGCCCACCCCAAGGCCCGCCAUCUCCUCCAUUCACACCCCUUCCUCCCCAACAUACACACACACCUCCCGCCCCGUCACCCAGCCAGCACCUAAGCCCUGUCAGUGCCAUGACAAACGACUCUGCCCUCCGUCUUCCCGCGAAGAAGAGCAGCGGAGCACUCACCGCGGGUCCCGCAGGCGAAGCUCACCGAACAACAAGCUCCGAACCUCACAGCUACAACUGCGCCACACAGUCACCUACUGCCCCUUAUAUAGCCUCUGCGGCCCCGCCCCCUGCGGCUCAGAUCACUCCGCCAGGCACUAUUUUUCCUGUGGUCCGCGCCGCAGCUUUACCGGAAGGCGUGAGGGAAACGAGGCCCGGCAUCGCGGAGGAGUCAGCUCUUUGAGCGGUGAUAGGACCCGAUGGCGGGCGGGGCCAGUGAGUGCCCGAAGGAGCGCGGAGGAAAACCUGGCGUGGAUCUACCAGUUUCCGGAGCGGGAGGCGGCGAUGGUGCCCCAGCGAGCAGACCCGUCUCGAUCUGGGGGACACCCCUGUGCCUAAAGCUUCUUGUCGGAGCAUUACGUUUUAUGUAGGGACUUAACCCCCAACAGCCUCGUUAGAAGCGUUCCAGAAGCGUGUUUCAUCAUGCUAGAAGGAAAGAAGCAGUGGGGGAGCAUGGAGCACCCCCCCAGCCCAGGACAAUGACCUGGAGGUGCUGCCACGGAGCCCAGGGAUGGGAGAGAUGGGGUGACGGACAGAGGAGGCUCGAUGGAUAAAGAGGUGUAAGUGCUGCAGAUAUAUCUGAGGUAGAAUCAGUGUGUGCAUAUGUAUGUACAAAUGGAGUACGUAUCGAGGAUAGAAUGGAGUCUAUAAGGACUAAGGCCUUGCCACGGGGGUAAAAUCAAUCAUAAAUAUGGAUAUAAUAAUGACUGGUUUGUAUUCUAUUUCCACUGGCAGAACACCUUCUGAUAGAUCUCUCGCACUCUGUUGGCUCCUGGUCCACCCCCGUCUCACUGCGCAGUGAUCCGCGCACACAGCUGAGCACAAACGGGGCUUUGUUCGCAGGGCUGGUGUGAUGUUUGGUUCAAUCCACCCCCAAAAUCCUUCCUCUGCCAGCGCCCACGGAAAACGGCUGCGUUCCAAGCGGACACAGAUGACACCCAGCGCUGCACACCAGUAGGAAGGGAGCAGAGGCCCAGCAACAGCUUUGUGAUUGGUGUGAGGGAAACCCGCUUGCCUUUGCCUGACACAUGGGGCUUUUAUAGGAGGUGAAUGCUCAGCCUUGGCUGCCUUGUGUUUGUGUUGAAACUUAGCAUUGUGAGGGUGGUUAGCUGGGGAAAAACAAAGAUCCGCUAAAGUAUUUUGGUUUCUUCCCGGUGGUUUAUAUUGUGUGCAUAUAGUCUUUUGGAUUUGGGUCUCUCAUCUGAAAGAGAAUAACGAUGAUAAGCUUAUUCUUUUAGUUACAGAGCGAGCGUUCAGAAUUGCUCUAAGAAUAGUUAGGUGGCAGCGCAUUUCGUGACAAGAUAGUGUUGUAACGAUGAAAUUAAGAUGAUAAAGCGCUGGUUUUCAUCUACGUGGGGUGAUUGGCCAUUGAGCAUCCUGAGUGAGUUUGUACCUGGUGUCUGAAUCGAAUGGUGGAGCAGCACUCUCCUGAAUGUUCAGGUUUGCGUUGUAUUCAGAUUGUGAGGCAGACAUUGGGCCCGAAUGCCACAGGCUCCUCCGCUGCCCGUGGCUGGUUUGCAGAGCAGCGCUUUCCCGCUGGGAGGGGCUUCCUGUGACCAAAGCUGCUCUGUUUCUCCUGAACUCUCUGUACCCCUUGCUAUGCUUUCACGACAAGCUUGGUGAACAGCAGGACCUUGGUCCCCACAGACCAUGACCUAUUUUACUGGCAAACACUGGUUUCCUGUGUCGGAGUCUGGUACUUUGUGUCUGUAACUACAAAAUCCCUGGGGUAAGAACCGUCUCUUUUCUUGCAUUCAUGUGCAGGGUAUAUUCCAGAAGUGCAGCUGCCCAGAGGGAUCCUGUCCAGGGAGCUGGUUACAGCGGGGAUCUUCACAUUUGACGGUGCUGUAGCCAAACGGCUGGCUCAAGAUAACACGA
Molecule: long non-coding RNA, 2460 nt
Organism: Amazona collaria (yellow-billed parrot)
Lineage: Eukaryota; Metazoa; Chordata; Aves; Psittaciformes; Psittacidae
Source: Ensembl